GAUGAACGCUGACAGAAUGCUUAACACAUGCAAGUCAACUUGAAUUUGGGUUUUUAACUUAGGUUUGGGUGGCGGACGGGUGAGUAACGCGUAAAGAACUUGCCUCACAGCUAGGGACAACAUUUGGAAACGAAUGCUAAUACCUAAUAUUAUGAUAAUAGGGCAUCCUAUAAUUAUGAAAGCUAUAAGCGCUGUGAGAGAGCUUUGCGUCCCAUUAGCUAGUUGGAGAGGUAACGGCUCACCAAGGCGAUGAUGGGUAGCCGGCCUGAGAGGGUGAUCGGCCACAAGGGGAAUGAGACACGGCCCUUACUCAUACGGGAGGCAGCAGUGGGGAAUAUUGGACAAUGGACCGAGAGUCUGAUCCAGCAAUUGUGUGUGCACGAUGAAGUUUUUCGGAAUGUAAAGUGCUUUCAGUUGGGAAGAAACAAAUGACGGUACCAACAGAAGAAGUGACGGCUAAAUACGUG
Molecule: ribosomal RNA, 467 nt
Filed under: uncultured bacterium
Lineage: Bacteria
Description: partial 16S ribosomal RNA
Rfam family: Bacterial small subunit ribosomal RNA
Source: RNAcentral